GCCUUCGUGGUGUAGUGGUCAGCAGUUUCCACUCGUUCUCGAGAGGCCCGUGGUUCGAGUCCCGGCGAAGGCG
Molecule: transfer RNA, 73 nt
Filed under: Stegodyphus mimosarum
Lineage: Eukaryota; Metazoa; Arthropoda; Arachnida; Araneae; Eresidae
Rfam family: tRNA
About the family: Transfer RNA (tRNA) molecules are approximately 80 nucleotides in length. Their secondary structure includes four short double-helical elements and three loops (D, anti-codon, and T loops).
Source: Rfam by way of RNAcentral